UCACCAACUAAGGCCCCUAAAUGACCGCUCAGUGAUAAAGGAGGUGGGGGUGCAAAGACAGCCAGGAGGUUUGCCUAGAAGCAGCCACCCUUUAAAGAGUGCGUAAUAGCUCACUGAUCGAGCGUCCUUGCGCUGAAGAUGAACGGGGCUAAGCGAUCUGCCGCAAGUUGAGG
Molecule: non-coding RNA, 173 nt
Filed under: Triticum aestivum (bread wheat)
Lineage: Eukaryota; Viridiplantae; Streptophyta; Magnoliopsida; Poales; Poaceae
Description: Bacterial large subunit ribosomal RNA
Rfam family: Bacterial large subunit ribosomal RNA
Source: Rfam by way of RNAcentral